RNAcentral lists this ribosomal RNA (250 nucleotides) under uncultured bacterium. RNAcentral's name for it is "partial 16S ribosomal RNA". It matches the Rfam family "Bacterial small subunit ribosomal RNA", at positions 779 to 1030 of the family's 1533-position model. The record is from RNAcentral.
UAGAUACCCUGGUAGUCCGCACAGUAAACGAUGUACACUAGGUGUCGGGGCAAGAGCUUCGGUGCCGACGCAAACGCAUUAAGUGUACCGCCUGGGAAGUAUGCCCGCAAGGGUGAAACUCAAAGGAAUUGACGGGGGCCCACACAAGCGGUGGAGCAUGUGGUUUAAUUCGAUGAUACGCGAGAAACCUUACCUGGGUUUGACAUCAAGAGCAAUGACAUAGAGAUAUGGCAGCGUAGCAAUACGGCUC